RNAcentral lists this ribosomal RNA (253 nucleotides) under uncultured bacterium. Its description in RNAcentral is "partial 16S ribosomal RNA". It matches the Rfam family "Bacterial small subunit ribosomal RNA", at positions 524 to 776 of the family's 1533-position model. The record is from RNAcentral.
UACGUAGGCAGCGAGCGUUGUUCGGAAUUACUGGGCGUAAAGAGUGUGUAGGCGGUGCUCUAAGUUCGGUGUGAAAUCUCCUGGCUCAACUGGGAGGGUGCGCCGGAAACUGGAGUGCUCGAGCGUGGGAGAGGAAAGCGGAAUUCCUGGUGUAGCGGUGAAAUGCGUAGAUAUCAGGAGGAACACCUGCGGUGUAGACGGCUUUCUGGACCAUUGCUGACGCUGAGACACGAAAGCGUGGGUAGCAAACAGG